This 119-nucleotide ribosomal RNA is filed under the name Pteropus alecto (black flying fox). The record is from RNAcentral. Lineage: Eukaryota; Metazoa; Chordata; Mammalia; Chiroptera; Pteropodidae.
GUCUAUGGCCAUGCUACACUGAACAAGCCAGAUUCCAAAUGAUCUCGGAAGCUAAGCAGGGUCGGGCCUGUUUAGUACUUGGAUGGGAGACCACCUAGGAAGACCAGGUGCUGUAGAUG